UAUUAGGCUGGUGCAAAAGUAAUUGCAGUUUUUGCUAUUUUUAUGGCAAAAACUGCAAUUACUUUUGCACCAGCCUAAUAUU
This 82-nucleotide microRNA precursor is filed under the name Gorilla gorilla gorilla (western lowland gorilla). RNAcentral's name for it is "miRNA (ENSGGOG00000028738.2)". Lineage: Eukaryota; Metazoa; Chordata; Mammalia; Primates; Hominidae. The record is from RNAcentral.